AACGAACGCUGGCGGCAUGCCUAACACAUGCAAGUCGAACGAGACCUUCGGGUCUAGUGGCGCACGGGUGCGUAACGCGUGGGAACCUGCCCUUAGGUUCGGAAUAACUCCCCGACAGGGGUGCUAAUACCGGAUAAUGUCUUCGGACCAAAGAUUUAUCGCCUUUGGAUGGGCCCGCGUUGGCUUAGCUGGUUGGUAGGGUAAAAGCCUACCAAGGCGACGAUCCAUAGCUGGUCUGAGAGGCUGAUCAGCCACACUGGGACUGAGACACGGCCCAGACUCCUACGGGAGGCAGCAGUGGGGAAUAUUGGACAAUGGGCGAAAGCCUGAUCCAGCAAUGCCGCGUGAGUGAUGAAGGCCUUAGGGUUGUAAAGCUCUUUUACCCGGGAUGAUAAUGACAGUACCGGGAGAAUAAGCUCCGGCUAACUCCGUG
Molecule: ribosomal RNA, 433 nt
Filed under: uncultured bacterium
Lineage: Bacteria
Description: partial 16S ribosomal RNA
Rfam family: Bacterial small subunit ribosomal RNA
Source: RNAcentral